GACGUAGGGCGCGAGCGUUGUCCGGAUUUAUUGGGCGUAAAGAGCUCGUAGGCGGUCUGUCGCGUCGGCUGUGAAAACCCGGGGCUCAACCCCAGGCCUGCAGUCGAUACGGGCAGACUAGAGUGAGGUAGGGGAGACUGGAAUUCCUGGUGUAGCGGUGAAAUGCGCAGAUAUCAGGAGGAACACCGGUGGCGAAGGCGGGUCUCUGGGCCGGAACUGACGCUGAGGAGCGAAAGCGUGGGGAGCGAACAGG
Molecule: ribosomal RNA, 253 nt
Filed under: uncultured bacterium
Lineage: Bacteria
Description: partial 16S ribosomal RNA
Rfam family: Bacterial small subunit ribosomal RNA
Source: RNAcentral